CAAUAGCGUAUAUUAAAGUUGUUGCAGUUAAAAAGCUCGUAGUCGGAUUUUGGCAUCACGCCGAACUGUCUGCCGAUUGGUAAGUACGGUUUGGCGGGUGCUUCUUUCUUGAAGCUCGUUCCCUUCUUAACUGAAGGGUUCGUUGGUUCAGGUUCUUUUACUUUGAGAAAAUUAGAGUGUUCAAAGCAGGCCUAUGCUCUGAAUAGGUUAGCAUGGAAUAAUAGAAUAGGACUUUGGUUCUAUUUUGUUGGUUUCUAGGACCGAAGUAAUGAUUAAUAGGGAUAGUUGGGGGCAUUAGUAUUUAAUUGUCAGAGGUGAAAUUCUUGGAUUUAUGAAAGACUAACAUCUGCGAAAGCAUUUGCCAAGGAUGUUUUCAUUGA
RNAcentral lists this ribosomal RNA (380 nucleotides) under uncultured eukaryote. RNAcentral's name for it is "partial 18S ribosomal RNA". It matches the Rfam family "Eukaryotic small subunit ribosomal RNA", at positions 592 to 976 of the family's 1831-position model. The record is from RNAcentral.